Molecule: RNA transcript, 1317 nt
Organism: Dioscorea cayenensis subsp. rotundata (Guinea yam)
Lineage: Eukaryota; Viridiplantae; Streptophyta; Magnoliopsida; Dioscoreales; Dioscoreaceae
Gene name: SNARE-interacting protein KEULE-like
Exons: 4
Source: RefSeq, a predicted model, not a curated record
GUACCAGAAAAGGCAUGGUGCUAGGAAAGAAUGAAAUGAUGAGGAAGAAACAUGGCAACUAUCACGGUUUUACACCAUGAUAGAGGAGUUAAUUCAGAAGCUUAGCAAAGAUGAAUUACCGAAGCAUGAGUAUGCUUGCAUGAAUGACCCUGUUCCUACCAUCCAUGGAUUCUCACAGAGUUCAUCAUUUUGGACUGGUCAACCUCAGUCAGCUCAUUCCAUGAGGUCAAGGCGGACUGCUGCUACUUGGGUUAGUCCAUGGAAUUCUGAUGAUGGGUAUUCUAAGUAUGACAUGAAUGGCUAGUCUUGUUCUCAUAAGUUAUUGAAUUUUUCUGAAUAACUUGUUGAGUGAUGCUCAUUCACCACUGGAAUAUUUCAAGUCGACUGCUAUUAUCUUAUAUGUUGGAUAGUGUGCAAUUGCAUGCCUAUUCUAUGGCCAAAAUUCCAAAUUAGUAUAAAAAUCUUCUUCUUUUCUAUUGGAUGGUAUCUUGUAUAUAUAUAAAAACUGACACACUGGGCCUUUUCAGUGAUUCAGUACUGAGGCAUGCAUCAAGUGAUCUCAGGAAGAUGGGUCAAUGAAUUUUUUGUCUUUAUUAUUGGUAGAGCCACUCAAUCUGAGUUGUGACCAGUGCACAAGCUGUCAGAGAAACUAAAGAGGAAAAUUACUCUUGGCUCAACUAGGUUGUGGAGGCAGUAUAAGAAGAAAAGAAGCCAAUAUAGGUCAUGAAUGCAGUUUUUAAGGAUUCUCUUGUGUGGAACAAGUGUCAAGACAUAAGCCAUGAUCAAACACAUAAGGAUGUGUGCCAACUUCCAAGAAUGUGCAAGUUUAUCAACAAAUUGAAAGGGCACAAAUGCAGUUAUAAACUCGUGUUCCAGCUUAUGCAGAGUUUUUGAGAGCAUCAUUUGACAUGACUUACCGCAUGGGUGUGUGCCCAACAAUGUGGUCUCAAUGGAAGAGAAGGAAUUCGGGAUCAAUGCAGUAGUACUGUAGCAAUUACUGAAGCAGAGCAGUGUUCAUUAGUACUAUAACAGUUAGUAUUCACAAAACGCGAAAUUCAGAAAACCUGAGAGUCCACACACCCGUGUGGAAAAUCCAUAAGGGCGUGUGAAAUCCCGAUUUUAGCAUUAUAAAUACCGCCUCGAAGAGUUAUUUUAAAAGUCUUUUUCCUAUCUCUUGGAGAGACCGCAGCUAGGGUUUGGAGGAGGUUUUCACCAAGUUUUGGGGCGUUUCCGCCAGGAUCAACAUUGAUUUCCUUCGAAGGAGAGUUAUUGGGGUUUUGGCGAGGUGUGCCCUAGGCUUGACGGAGGAGUCUUUGG